This 101-nucleotide non-coding RNA is filed under the name Peptoclostridium acidaminophilum. RNAcentral describes it as "Glycine sequence". It matches the Rfam family "Glycine riboswitch aptamer". Rfam says of the family: This family represents the bacterial glycine riboswitch. Glycine riboswitches usually consist of two metabolite-binding aptamers domains with similar structures in tandem. Lineage: Bacteria; Bacillati; Bacillota; Clostridia; Peptostreptococcales; Peptoclostridiaceae. The record is from RNAcentral. RNAcentral also lists the same sequence under 1 other name.
ACGAAGGAUAUAGGAGAGAGCCUAACGGCCGCCGAAGGGACAAACAUAACCAUUCACACAUGGAAUGUGAAAUUCUCAGGCAAAAGGAUUAUAUCUGGACA